Molecule: long non-coding RNA, 4436 nt
Filed under: Sus scrofa (pig)
Lineage: Eukaryota; Metazoa; Chordata; Mammalia; Artiodactyla; Suidae
Description: lncRNA (ENSSSCG00040050846.1)
Source: RNAcentral
CACUUGUUGGGGGGGUUGGUUGGAUGGCCAGGGUUGGGGCUUGGAAGGACGCCGGCCGAGAAUUGACCACGCUGGAGCCUAGGCCCCCAGGGAUGCACACCUGCAGCCUCUGUGGGACCCCCGCUCCUAAAUGCGGAAGCCCGGACGUAGAGAGGGGAACUACCAAGGUCACACAGGAGUUAGUGGCUAAGCGUGGGUAAGAACCCGGUCUCCCGGCCUAGGGCUUCUCUGCUGAGCGUCUCCCAGCGACUGGCGGUUUUGUGUUCUGAAGGCGCCCGCCAGGAAAGCCUCCCUUCUGCAUGUAUUACAGUGAAUUGCCAACUUUUACGGAGGGGGUUUCUUGCUACUGUCUCACUGAAAUUCCCUCCACCCACACCCUGCAGCUUUUUAAAGUUCAUCUCAGGUUGAUCUGGGGCCAAGUUCCUAGCCCCGAUGUCCCCUCCCUCCCUUCGGCGAGACCACGAGGCUCCAGUGACUUUUUUGACCCAUAGAUGACCCCCUUCCCCCUACCCCUUUGCUUGAGUGGCCUUGGGGCAGAGGGUAAGUGUGGGAGGCCUGAGCUGCCCCUGGGGGACAGAAACAAAGGGAGUACUCAGCUCCAGGCACCUGAGUAGAGGCUGAGGGGGAGGCAGUGGGAGGGGGGUACUGAGGGCUGCUGCCUUCUGCCUUCAAGUGGGUUUUAAAGACUAAGGGAGCCCCGGGCCCGGUGAUGGAGGAGACUGCCCUGGAAAGUCGGAGGUGCCUUUCCAGUCCCCCUCUCCUCCCUCUGAGCUCGCCCGUCUCCCUGCCCCCCACCUCCAACAUUGGGGCCAUUCACGGGGCCCCUCACCAGCUGCCCUCCCUUUUCUCACUUCAGCCAGCUCCCUUCCCUGGAAGGAGCCCAAGAGGAGGACCCAGCUGCAGCUCCAGAUGUGGAAGGAGCUCUCUAGGGGAAGGGAGGAAGGGGAGCCUGGCUCCAGGCCUCUUGCAUCACCCUCAGCUGAUGAAACCACAUCGGAGAUUUUGAAAAGCCUGUGGGUUAGGGGAUGAGCAGUGUCUGGGGUGCCACUCUCCUCUCGUUCCCUCCCCCCACCCACCCCACAGAUGACUGCUCCAUCCGUAGCCCCCAAACCAAAGUAAUUUCAAGAGCAAACCCAUUCCCCACCUCCACCCCAUCCUCUGGCAAACAGGCGGCAGCUGCCAGCAGUUUCCCAGGAUGGAGGAGGGGCAGGGGGAUAGGGAAGGUCCUGGGGGGGACCCCACACCUUUCACUAGCAUUUGAAUCUGGAGGACGGGCUCUCUGGGGCCAGCAGUUGCCCCUCCCGGGGCAGGAGGCCAGCAGAGUGUUGAGUCCAUCCAACCAAAGUGAGAGAUGGGCGGAGACUAAUAUGAGAGGAGCUUCUCCAACCAGCAAGGAGCCCGACGUGGAUGUUCUCAUUUCAUGCUCAUGACCUUGUGAGCUAGGCUGUAUUCUUUUUAAUUUUUGCUGAUGGGGAAACUGAGUCUCACCCAGCAUAUAAGCGGCAGAUCCCGGAUUUGAACUUUGCAUCCGGUUCCAGGCUUUCCAGAUCCCUUCCAGUAGCUGUGCAGGGACGGGAGCUGGGCUGGUGGACAGAGCUGGGCUGACACAGGCUUUGACUCCAGGCUUAGUCCUCUUGGAGGCUCGUGCGGUAUUUUGCAAAGCUGCCCUCCUGCCCACAAGACUCUGGGCUUCUCCAGGGCCCAACUCUGGUUUCCUGCCUCCAGGAAGUCCCCUCUGACUUCUGAGAGUAGGUGACCCUUCUGACUCAUAGAUUCACUGCUGGGAAAUGGCGCCAGAAGCGCUGCCCCCACCCCCUCCACAUCCCUCCAGGUCACAGGGGUGUCGAACCAGGAGGAGCUGGGAGGCACGUGUGCUGGAAACUCAAGCCUCCCAGAGGUCAGGGCCUCUGGGCGGCUGCCUCUCGGGCGCUGCUGCUGGAGGCGAGGAAAUCAGACAGGGAUCUGAGUUGGUAGUGAAGAGGCUUAAACUGCAGCCUGGGCAGAUUUAGUUAAGAGAGUCAGCGUGGCGGGGGGGGGGGGGGGGGGGGGGGGGGGGAGCGGUGGGCGUCUGGGCAGAUGGGAGCCUGCGGAGUUGGGGGGCCCUCUCUGAGUUGGGAAGCUCCCACGCUGCUGUGUUGAAAAUACUCCAGCAGCAACUGGGGGCAGCCAUCCAAGAGCCCGGAUCCCUCGUUCUCACAGCAACCCUACAGUAACAAAUCCGCACAUCCAAGAGCUGUCCUUAGGCCCUAGAAAUGAUGCAGAGGUGGUUUCUGAACUUGAAUCCGUCCUGUGGUUCCCCUUUAGAAUUAGCACCAGGCACUGGCACUGGGGGGAACUCUGAGCGCUGACUUCAACUUCUAGGGAUGGGGAGUUCAGGGUUCCUGGCUUCCAGCCCCAGCCCUGCCUGGCACCUGGGCUCAGAACCCCAGACAGGGGCUAUCGGGGUGCAGACACAGGGGCCUCAGCCCAGCGAGGGCUCAGCCUGACUUCCUCUGCUGCAGGAGACAGACUUAGAGGAAACCAGAAUUUGUUAUAAAUAGCAGAGGAGAGAGAGCCCUGCGGAUUACAACUCCCCCCCCAGGCUUUAGGAAAAAAUAGAGAAAAAGCAACUAUUUUUGGUUUCUAAUGUUAGCAAGGGUUUGAUACACCACAUAUCCUCAAGCACAGGAUCGCUGUCCAUCUUCCUGCUCUGCAGCGCUUUCUCAGAAUGCAGGCUUAGGGCCACCGAGGAUGCGGGUGCAGGCAAGUCGCCACGUCCCAGAAACCUGGAGCCCAAGAGUCUCUGGUUCAACCGCGUCAUUUUCAGGUGCAGAAAUGAGGCCCAGAGAGGAGACAAGACGUGUCCAGAGUCUCACAGUGACUGCUGAGCUGGCCCUAGGCGUCCCCGAGGGGGCAGUUCCCACCACAGCAUGGUAGGACCUCAAGGCUGAACAUGAGACGGGGCCACAUGUGAGUUUACGGUUUGCAUGAACCCGAGUCACAGAAGACGGAGCUGGAGGGUGGCGUCUCCGGGUCAGAGAUCUGGGCUCGUUCCAGCUCUGCUACUUGGAGCUGUGGGACCUGGGGCAAGUUAUGUAACUGCCCCUGGCGACGUUCCCCUCAAAAUGAGGACUGCCACACCCGCUCAUCACAGGGCUAUUAUGAGGUCAAAAUGGGGUGACCUGGGUUGGGCCACCAGCUCAAGGCUCCUCUCACAGGAUGGAGAUGAAUUUCCUUCGUUUCCCCCAGACGCUCCAUCCCGUCUGUGCGCCCCUGCCCUCUGACAGCACAGAGGGCGAAUCUGUCACAAGACAUCCUUUGAGGGACAGGAAGUGAGGACACGGGGUGAAGUCUGCCUGCCCGAGGGGUCAGCGCCGAUCUGGGAGGGGACAGCGUCCAGGCUCCGCUGGCCUCUCCAUGGAGGGGCCCUUGGAGGCGGGAGGGUCAGAUCACGGAUGGGGGCCACCUGGGAGGCAUCUGAGUUUUAUUUUACUCACCCCGGUGCUCCCCUGUGUCAAGGGUUUCCUCUUUGAAUCCUCACAACAAUUGGGGAUCAAAUACUGUUUGCCCUCAUUUUGCAGAAGAGGAAAUGGGCUCAGAGGUCACUUGGCUGGCGUCGCGGUCAUUUUGCUUUCCACCAAAUAUUUCCGGCCCUCCGCCUUGUGGCACAAGGCGGGCUGGCGUGGCCUCCCUGUCAUGUCAGGGGUGGCCUGUGAUAUCCUUAGCCCAAUGUGGGCAGGACCGGUACCACAUCUCCAUGGAAGCUCCGCACCCUGGCACCUUACGCCAGGUUCAUGUUGUUUCUGGAGCGUAUGUGAGAAAUGAACUUAUUGUUUGAAGCCUCUGAAAUCAUGAGCUGUGGGCUGCCUUGGCAGAGCCAGCCCGCCCUGCCCUGACUGAUGUUCAUCCUGAGUAGAGCUCGGAGCCAGAAUUCCGGUCUGUGCAGGUGCCAAGGGGCUCAGAGCCUUCCAGGAUGCUGCCUGCUUACCUCAGACGCAUGGAGGGCGCUGGGGCUCCUGGGCAACUCAGACCCUUGCAGGCAGGCGGAGGGGACAGCGACCUCUCUGCCUCCACCUGGCCCCAUCCCCAUAAUGCUUGCAGAUUGCUGGGCCCUAGGGACUUAGAAACGAGCACAGUUUCAUGUCCACCUUCUGGCCAGCUGGGCUGUGCCUUGGGGGACCCUCAGAAUCCACUCUGAGAAGCAAUUAGAAAAGUCUGGGAGUUCCCAUUGUGGCUCAAUGAUUGACGAAUCCGACUGGGAACCAUGAGGUCACGGGUUCGAUCCCUGGCCUUGCUCAGUGGGUUAAGGAUCCGGCAUUGCCGUGAGCUGUGGUGGAGGCUGCAGAUGUGGCUUGGAUCCUGCAUCACUGUGGCUCUGGCAUAGGCUGGCAGCUAUGGCUCCCGUUCGACCCCUAGCCUGGGAUCCUCCAUAUGCCUCGGGAGCAGCCCAAGAAAUG